UGGGGAAUAUUGGACAAUGGGCGAAAGCCUGAUCCAGCAAUGCCGCGUGUGUGAAGAAGGCCUUAGGGUUGUAAAGCACUUUCAGUGGGGAGGAAGUUGUGUGUGAUAAUACCAUAUGCAAUUGACGUUACCCACAGAAGAAGCACCGGCUAACUCUGUGCCAGCAGCCGCGGUAAUACAGAGGGUGCAAGCGUUAAUCGGAAUUACUGGGCGUAAAGGGUGUGUAGGUGGUUGCGUAAGUUAGAUGUGAAAUCCCCGGGCUUAACCUGGGAACUGCGUUUAAAACUGCGUAGCUAGAGUAUUGCAGAGGAUAGUGGAAUUUCCAGUGUAGCGGUGAAAUGCGUAGAUAUUGGAAGGAACACCAGUGGCGAAGGCGACUAUCUGGGCAAAUACUGACACU
RNAcentral lists this ribosomal RNA (400 nucleotides) under uncultured bacterium. RNAcentral's name for it is "bacterial SSU rRNA". It matches the Rfam family "Bacterial small subunit ribosomal RNA", at positions 355 to 747 of the family's 1533-position model. The record is from RNAcentral.